AUUGAACGCUAGCGGGAUGCCUUACACAUGCAAGUCGAACGGAGUGGCGAAAGGGUGAGUAAUGUAUCGGAACGUGCCCAGUAGCGGGGGACAACUACGCGAAAGCGUAGCCAAUACCGCAUACUAUUGGAGCGGCCGAUAGCGGAUUAGCUCGUUGGUGGGGUAACGGCGCACCCAGGCGACGAUCCGUAGCUGGUUUGAGGGGACGACCAGCCACACUGGGACUGAGACACGGCCCAGACUCCUACGGGAGGCAGCAGUGGGGAAUUUUGGGCAAUGGGGGAAACCCUGAUCCAGCCAUCCCGCGUGUGCGAAGAAGGCCUUCGGGUUGUAAAGCACUUUUGGCAGGAAAGCGGUACCUGCAGAAUAAGCACCGGCUAACUACGUGCCAGCCGCCGCGGUAAUUC
RNAcentral lists this ribosomal RNA (407 nucleotides) under uncultured bacterium. Its description in RNAcentral is "partial 16S ribosomal RNA". It matches the Rfam family "Bacterial small subunit ribosomal RNA", at positions 30 to 526 of the family's 1533-position model. The record is from RNAcentral.